RNAcentral lists this ribosomal RNA (201 nucleotides) under uncultured bacterium. Its description in RNAcentral is "partial 16S ribosomal RNA". It matches the Rfam family "Bacterial small subunit ribosomal RNA", at positions 1300 to 1500 of the family's 1533-position model. The record is from RNAcentral.
GUAGUCUGCAACUCGACUACAUGAAGCUGGAAUCGCUAGUAAUCGCGAAUCAGCAUGUCGCGGUGAAUACGUUCCCGGGUCUUGUACACACCGCCCGUCACACCAUGGGAGUUGGAAAUGCCCGAAGUCAGUGACCCAACCGAAAGGAGGGAGCUGCCGAAGGCAGGUUCGAUAACUGGGGUGAAGUCGUAACAAGGUACC